CACUUUUGCGCAGUGGUGGCGCGGGUGAACUCUAGCUUCACCUUUCCCAGGAAGUGGUCUUUGAACUGGUUCAUCCCGGCGGGGGUGA
This 88-nucleotide transfer RNA is filed under the name Pirellulimonas nuda. RNAcentral's name for it is "Planctomycetes bacterium Pla175 tRNA-Pyl". The record is from RNAcentral. Lineage: Bacteria; Pseudomonadati; Planctomycetota; Planctomycetia; Pirellulales; Lacipirellulaceae.